This 483-nucleotide ribosomal RNA is filed under the name uncultured bacterium. RNAcentral's name for it is "partial 16S ribosomal RNA". It matches the Rfam family "Bacterial small subunit ribosomal RNA", at positions 28 to 507 of the family's 1533-position model. The record is from RNAcentral.
GAUGAACGCUGGCGGCGUGCUUAACACAUGCAAGUCGAACGAGAAGUGCCGACGUAUACCGUCUGGCGGAGGGGCUUAUUUGGAGUGAACACGGGGUGAGUAUUGCGUGGGUUAUGGGAUAACUUCAGGGAACUAGGGCUUAUACAGGACUGGUGAUACCGCUUAAUACCGUGGGUGUGAAUGUUUCGGGGGUUGGCAUUGCGGUGGUGGGGGAUGGACUGGCGUUUGAUCAGCUUGUUGGCGGGGUAGUGGAUUACCAACGCGACGAGGGGUGGCCGGCCUGAGAGGGUGACCGGCCACAUUGGGACUGAGAUGCGGCACAGACUAAUACGGGAGGCAGCAGUGGGGAAUAUUGCACUAUGGGCGGAAGCAUGAUGCAGCAAAGCCGCGUGGGGGAUGACGGGAUUCGGGUUGUAAACCGCUUUCGCCUGAGACGAAGCGUGAGUGACGGUACUGGGUAAAGAAGCACCGGCUAACUACGUG